UGCUCCUGCCUUCCGCUCCCUCCGCUACCGCCGAGGAGACUUUAUUAUUCACUCUGCGCGGUCCGCACGGAGACCGCAGUGCGCAGGCGCCGCCGCCGCCAUUACCGCCCCGGAAUUUAGCAGCUGCACACAAGGAAUUAUCAGCACCAUGUGAAAAGCCAGCUCUGUGGACCACUAGGAGUGGUUCCACACACCCUCAUUUGAAAAUCACUGGUUUAAGCCAAACAGACUGACUUUUUCUAGACCAAUUAGUCCUGGCAGUAUCCUGGUUUCCUCUGCUAGUUCUCUUCCAUGCUCCAGUUAGGAAAACCCAACACACACUCUGAAUGAAAGGCAACACAGAAAAGUUAGGUUUUACCUGAGGUAUAAGAGUUGAUAGCAUCUGCCAUGUGGAUCAUUGUUUCUGAGCAGAAUUUUCAGAAGCCUUCGUGAUCCAUUGUUAACUUUGAGUACUCAACAGCUGACCUUCCAGUGAUCUGCUGUACACUAUCCAUCCAUCUCCUCACUGGUUGUCCCUGACUACGAUGUCCCUCUCCUAUCCCUUUCAUAAUAACUUUCUCAAGUUUAUUUCCAUCUCUAUGCCUAACCUGACCAAAGUAUAUAAGCUUGUGUCAUGCUGGUGUCUGUUGAGCCACUAAUCCUGUGAGAGGAUGUGGUGCAUGCUAUUAUGAAAUUAAAGCUUGGGAAAGGACCAGAGGAGUGGUAGAUAACGUGCCCGAAGAACUGUUAAAAGCAAUUGGCGAAAGCAAUACUGAUUUUAUGUGGUAAAUUUGUGAUGAUAUAUGGAUGACUAGGAAUUGGCUGGACAACUGGAUGAAGAGAAUUUUUCUGACCUUGUCAGAAAAGGGAAAAAUAACAGAGGGUCGUAAUUAUCAUCUCAUCUCCUUGAUAGUGCACACAAGCAAAGUUCUGUUCUACAUAAUCCAGGAUUGCGUGAAAAGAAGUAUAGCAGCAGAACUACCACCACAAGCUGGUUUCAGAGAGUGCCGAUACACACCUGACCAAAUUGUAAAUAUCCAUCACAUCACUAAAAAAUGUAGAGAAUACAGUC
This is a long non-coding RNA of Dermochelys coriacea (leatherback sea turtle), 1051 nucleotides long. RefSeq lists it as uncharacterized. The transcript has 4 exons. The record is from RefSeq and is a predicted model, not a curated record. NCBI's taxonomy places the organism in Eukaryota, Metazoa, Chordata, Testudines, Dermochelyidae.